RNAcentral lists this ribosomal RNA (502 nucleotides) under uncultured Glomus. RNAcentral's name for it is "SSU rRNA". It matches the Rfam family "Eukaryotic small subunit ribosomal RNA", at positions 569 to 1074 of the family's 1831-position model. The record is from RNAcentral. Lineage: Eukaryota; Fungi; Glomeromycota; Glomeromycetes; Glomerales; Glomeraceae.
AGCAGCCGUGGUAAUUCCAGCUCCAAUAGCGUAUAUUAAAGUUGUUGCAGUUAAAAAGCUCGUAGUUGAAUUUCGGGAUCAAUAUAUUGGUCGUGCCUUCGGUAUGCACUGGUAUUAUUGAUUUCUACCUUCUGACGAACCAUGAUGUCAUUAAUUUGGUGUCAUGGGGAAUCAGGACUGUUACUUUGAAAAAUUAGAGUGUUUAAAGCAGGCACACGCUUGAAUACAUUAGCAUGGAAUAAUGAAAUAGGACGUUUGAUCUUAUUUUGUUGGUUUCUAGGAUCGACGUAAUGAUUAAUAGGGAUAGUUGGGGGCAUUAGUAUUCAAUUGUCAGAGGUGAAAUUCUUGGAUUUAUUGAAGACUAACUACUGCGAAAGCAUUUGCCAAGGAUGUUUUCAUUAAUCAAGAACGAAAGUUAGGGGAUCGAAGACGAUCAGAUACCGUCGUAGUCUUAACCAUAAACUAUGCCGACUAGGGAUUGGAUGAUGUUAAUUUUUAAUGA